Molecule: ribosomal RNA, 301 nt
Filed under: uncultured bacterium
Lineage: Bacteria
Description: bacterial SSU rRNA
Rfam family: Bacterial small subunit ribosomal RNA
Source: RNAcentral
GAUGAACGCUGGCGGCGUGCUUAACACAUGCAAGUCGAACGGAACGCCAAGGAAAGAGUUUUCGGACAAUGGAAUUGGUUGUUUAGUGGCGGACGGGUGAGUAACGCGUGAGUAACCUGCCUUGGAGUGGGGAAUAACACAGUGAAAACUGUGCUAAUACCGCAUGACAUAUUGGUGUCGCAUGGCACUGAUAUCAAAGAUUUAUCGCUCUGAGAUGGACUCGCGUCUGAUUAGAUAGUUGGCGGGGUAACGGCCCACCAAGUCGACGAUCAGUAGCCGGACUGAGAGGUUGGCCGGCCAC